GGGGGUGGAGCUGGGGAGGGGAGAGAACAGCAGAACAUGUUUUGUUUGGAGAAAGAAAAAAACACUACAAUGAAACCUAACAUUCCGUAUGCUGAUAAAGACAGAACAGAAUAGAAAAAUUCCACAGCCUCGUCCAGGGCCAAUCCUGAAUUAAUAAUGUCGUAAUUAGCAAGUGCCCUUUCUGACAAACGCGGUGAGUGGGUCCUUAGAGAGGUCAGACACGGUUUGCCCCUGUGCCUUUGGAACAGAGCGAGCUAGUGCCGAGCCUUCGGACCUGACAGCCCUCCGGAGGAUCAACAGCUCGGGGGCUAAGGGCUGAGCUCCAUCGUGGAGAGGAAGUGAAGAAGCGGGAACUCGACCCCGAGGUGCCCAGCACACAGGCGAUCCUUGGGACUUCCGGGUUUCAAAAGUUCCAGUCUGGAGCGAUCCCCUUCCACCCACAACUCCUGCUUCCUGACACUCGCAUAGACCAGGGGAAAGUCUGGGAAGAUCUUUCAAACAGCUCACCUUCAUGCCUGCCUCCUCUGUCCUGUCCCUAGGACAGCCAGUGUAAAUGGCUACAAAGCGAGGGGCUUAAGGCAACAACACACAGGUAUCCCUCCCUGUUCAGGAAGUAGGGAGCAUGGUGCCUAGGUGAGUUCAGGGAUGGGUCCUCCUGGAGGCUGCAGAUCUGCUCCCCACUUGCUCCCAGCUUCCUCCCGGUGUUGCCAGGGACCUUGGCUACCCUCCACGGGCAGAUGCAUUACUCCCUGUCAGCCUCCAGCUUCAGCUCACCUCCUUCCCGGAGUUCCUCUGAUAAUAAAGUGACAAGGAUGAGACUAUGGUACCAACUCAAUUAGAGGCCUUGUUACCAAGGAAGUCAAGAGGACAUCACGUGGGCCUGUAUGGGAUGACACCAGCAAAACCAGACCAUGACCUGGUAGAAAAGACCAGACUCAUGUGAGAAGAAAAAUGGCUCCUAGAGGUGACAGGAACGCCAGAGAAGAACACGGACCCGGGUAGCUAAAGACACAGCCACCUGCUCCAGGCACAGCCUGGCCUGUGACCUGGACCCACUCCUGUCCCUCCAUGAACACACUCUGCCUCUGAUGAAUCCGUCCUCAACAGUCUUCAGACUUACAGGCCUAGCUGCCUUGUUCUUGCCCUUGGACAUUCUGGAGACACGGACAGCCUUAGCUUCCCCUGAGAUCACCUCUGUGGAGGCUGGAGAGCCAUGCAGCAGAUAAAUGAGAGGGGCACUUCAGAGACACAAAGACAAACCUUCAAUACCACAGCCGGAAACACUAAGUCUGAAGAGUCAGCCGCCUGCUCUGAACAACUCUUACCUUGGUUUCCCUUUUCUGUCCAGAACCAGGUAAUUUCUCUCUACCUAGCAUCUCCUGUGACUGUGCAUUCUGCUCCCACUUGACUGUCUGCCUGUCUGUCUAUCUAUGUGUAUGUGUGCAUGUGUGAGUGUACAUGUGUGUGUGCAUAUGGACAUGGUUCUGUAUGAGUACACACGCCACAGUGUAACCGGAGACAAGAGUCAAUUCUCCUUCAUCUAUGUGGGUCCUGUGGAUGGGGUUCGGCAGCAAGCACCUCUACUCACUGAGCCUUUUUGCUGGCCCUGCUAUGACUUUAACCAUUACCCCCACAUCGCUUGGGGUGACUUCAGAGCUGCCUGAAUGUGGCUCAUGCUUUCCUGAACACCACACACACACACACACACACACACACACACACACACACCAUUCCUUUCCAGAGCUAUGGCUGACCUCUAGAAACGUCUCCCGGACUCAUCUUUGCCUCUCUUGGCAAACUGAGUCAUAGUCCAGAUGUAGUGGCACGGUGGCUCUGAGAAGACCCGCCUAGGCCUCCCAGUGAAUGCCACGUUGUGCUAUGGCCUCUUCUUGCCACACUGGCCACCUCUGCCUGCUGUGUGAACGUCUUUGGGACAAAAGUGAUACCAUCCGCUUAAGGCCACAAUAAGGUUCCACCUGGACUGACUUAGAAAAGCAUCAAAAAUAAGCCAGCCAUCUGUCCUGACUCCCCUGCUCCCUCAUGGUCCCACCUCUCAAUAACUCCCCAAAGUUCUGCCUCAGGCAAAACAAACACCCUCCAUAGAAAGUACAGAGACACAGCAAUCCAGGGAGAAUUUUGAGGAAAAGCCCCGUCUUGCCUCUUUGACUCUUAUACAGUCCAGCACACAAGAGUUCUCACACUAUGCCCAGAGAAACCUGGUGGGCUCACACUGCUGGUCACACACUCCUUCCUGCUCCUCCAAGCUUUGUGAAGUUUCUGCUCAGAUCAUAUUUACACGGAAGAAAGCCGCCUGACUGAGAAGGGGUUGAGUGAGCAGUUCCUUUCCCAUCACCAAGGAGCUGAGGGGCCGCACGUGCAGGCCCGCAGGUCAACCGACAAGCUGAACUAGUAGGACUCCUAACUAAAACAAAUUCCGGGUGGGACACUCCCAAGUGGAACGCAGCGGGUAGCCUGUGGAAAUUCCCCAGCCUGAUUCCCACUCUGUCUGGGUCAGCGGCCCUCACGUGUGUCAGUCUCUUUAGGCGGCAGCUCCAGUUUUCCAGACCCCAGGGAGCAGACACCUUUCCACUUUGUCCUUUGCUGUCACAUGCCAGCACCAGGCCCCUUGGAUGCUCUCCAGUCCCAGCAGGUGAGAAGUGACCUUUGACCCCUCUCUUGGCUCCCACCCCCAGGCCCCCAGCGUUCUCUUCCCCUCCCACCUACUUUGUGAGUGCACUGUGUGCAUCUCUGCCCUGCCCAUCGUUCUGAUCGACCACACGUUCUGAUGGGAGAAAAAAGAUGGAGGGAAAGUAAGUGUGGACUUUUCACCAUAAAUGACCCCACAAGACACCCCCAAACUCCUCUCCCGGACAGUCCUGUCCAAUAUCCCUCCGACAGAAACGUCACCGCCGCGCCUCCGCCGCCACUGACGCUGCUACUGAAAUUAACGGAAUCUGGCAGGAGACCCUAUUGUUUUUCCAAUCCCUAGUUCUGCCAAGCAAACACAGGGAUCUUGAUGAAAAUGGCCGCUCCAGACAACUGUGUUUCAGGGGCACAAGAUGCUCCCACAUCGCCCUCAGCCUGGGUGCGCGGCGUGAGCGCAAGCUGGAGGCUCUCUGGUUCGGACAUGCUGACAAGUUUUUGUGAGGUUUUUUUUUGUUUUGUUUUUUGGUUUUUGGUUUUUGGUUUUUUUUUUUUUUUAAUGCAACUAAAAUGUUAAACAGGAAGCCUUUCAGGACGCCUGCCACGGACGGCGACCGAGUGCCAAGUUCCCCCUCUCCUGUGGCAGCAGCUCCGAGCCGACAUUUUGUGAUGUGGGGAUGCUGGGUCCAGGUUUAGAGGACUGUAGCCAGAGACCCUGGAAAAAGCCUCGCCGCCUUAACGAAGACCCUUUGUCCUUCGUGUCCCCACACCUAUCGAUCUGGCCUGAGGUGCCAGUGUCCAAAUGAGUGUCCCUCCUGGCACUGCUGGUUUGACUGACAGUGACACACUCAGGCCGCAUCAAAAGCGCCUGUUUAUUCCCCAGGUGGGAAAAGGAUCCUCUCUUCCCACACCUUGAACAGUUCAGAGCCACCAUGGUCUCCUCCCCCUUGGUUUUCGACUGUGCUGAGAGAGGAUUUGAUUACUGGCCGCCCACUUGAAAAGCAGCAUUUGUGCCUCAGUCGCCUCUGUCUGUCCUUGCCCCAUUGUUUUAGGGCACAACAGAGUGGCAGUCUGCACUGUCACCCCUACAGGAGGAGGCUUUUGUUGAAACAGAAACUUCGUAUGGCCUAAAGGAACUGAAUGAAGUGGGAACAGAAAGCUAACAAUGGACAAUCAGUAUCACUUGAGAAGAAAGGACAGGAGCACUGGGAAGAGGAGCUGAGACAGCAACUCUGGGGACCAGGCACUUUGCAAGGGACCAGGGAGUUUCAUUUCCAAUCCUCAAAGAUAACCAAGUCCUCCCUGGUCUCUGCUUCCCUCAACUCCUGGGGACACACACUGAUCAGUUAAUAGGCUGGGGCAUCUCUGAGAGAAACAGCCCCACGCUCUUCCUGAAUGUUCCUAAAUGCUGUGGAAGGAAGAAGAGUGCAGCACUGUGAGCAUGAAGGCAGGAGGUUUGCACUCACUGGGAAAACACAGAGGAUGGCAACAAUUUUCUUGCUCAGGGCCACACUCGCAGGCCCGCCUGACCCUCCACAGUUGCCUCCCUCAACCACCAGCCACUGGAACUAGCACCCCCACAUUGCCUCUCACAGAUGAAGCGUAGCCAGCAGCCUCUCUCCCAAGGCAGUCCCCAGUGAAGCUCAUGAUCUGGAGCUCCCCAGGGUCCAGGCAGAAAGUGGCUUGCCCCUGUCUCACCUCUCCUUGGUCUCCCUUGGGCUCUGUCAGCCAUGUAUAUCCAGACACCUACCACAAACUCUGAGAAGACAGGAAGGUGAAGCUAAGAGAGGAGUGGGUCCCCCACUGCAUCCACUGAUCCACUGGAGCACCUUUCAGUGUGUGCCAAAAUGGCGUCACAGCACCAUCCCCCCCCCCCCCCAGUUCAAGCAUCUAUAUUAAAAAAAAAAAAAAAAAGAAUGGCCACUUCUGUCUUUCAUUCUUUCUAUAGUGGGGUUUGAACCCAGGGCCUUGCACACACACAGGCAAGCUCAACCAUUAAGUUCUGUCUUCAGCCUUAACUUCUUGAGGCAAGAUUUUACCAUGUGGCCUAGGUUAACCUUAGUCUCAAGAUCCCUCUGCCUCAGCUUUCUGAGUGCUUAGAUACAGGCAUGUGCCACCAUGCCCAGUGGGAUCCCGAUACCGACUGGCACACUUCAUGAAAACAGCUACCUUAUAUAUACACAGGAAGACCGAGGAAGGGAGCGGCCCAGCACCCAGGCUGAAACUCGGGAAACCUGGGAGAGGCUUGAAAGUAUGAAGAGCUGUGUUGGUGUUAUGGAGGCAAGCAGGAAGUACUCUCACUGAGGUCAUCCGAUGAAGGUUAACAGAGGAAGUCAUGGGGUAGCUGUGCAGUUCUUAGGGCAGAUGGCAGAAGAGCUGCUACACCUGCUAGUCCCGAAGGGACAAGAGGGGCGAGAGGAAAAAUGAUCAGAUCGGGAACCUGCGUGCAUCCUAGGAGGGACACAAAGGAAAACUCUCCAGUCCCACCUCUCCCCAGAUACCCAGAAUUUACCACUCCAACCCAUCUUACUAGCACACCCAAACAAGAAGACAAGAGACUCAAAGGUCAGAGCAGAGUCAGAAGGGGCCGCGUGUAAAGUUGGGCAAACAAAAGAAGCCAACACACAUGGGGCCCAUGCUUCUUGAUACAGUUUUUAAAUGUUUGUAUGUCUAAACAUCUCUGUAGAUUAAAAAUACCUAACUUUAAAAUGUAUUUUUAACCAUCCUAUCUCUUCUCAGCCAGAUCUCACGUCAGUUCUAGCAUUUUCUAACGGGUCCAAUCCAGACUUGUGUGAGAGGUUAGAUCUCUACGCUUCCUGGGAAGAAAGUACUCAGCAGAGCGUCUUGCACACCCUCCUCUGUCUACUCAGCUGUACGUGUGUGAGUUCCAGGAGCUGGGGAGACACAGAUGCCCCCAGGUGCAUCCCUCAGCUCUGUAGAACUCAGGGCUCAAAACCUGAGCAGAUCGGGUCCUGCCUCCCCUCCUCGUUCCUAGGUCGCUCCGUGGCCAUUGAUAGCUUCCUCAUCUGAACAGGCUGUUGGCAUCUCUGUGCUGUGGGAAUGGUAAAGGCUCCAGUCAGGGCCCAACGUAGGUAGCUGCUUCUCUGGGGAGUCGAGGGGGUGUCUGUGUUAUCUCCUGGGACUUGGGGGCACAGUGGCAUAGUAUGUGGGGAAAGGACACAUGCAUCUGGUUCUGAUAAAAACCAAGGUACAGCAAAAGCUGUGACCCAGCUCCCAGCCAACCACACCUCCUCCCUCCUCAGACCCUUCCGGCCCCAAGCUCCAUGGAAACCAACAUUGCAAGGAGACACAAGACAGGACAUGUCACUAACCAGAGAACCAACCCUGUGCCCAAGAGAACACAGAAGAGCACAGCUUCCUGGAAGGCGGUAAUGAGGGUUCUAUUGUGAACAGACCUAGAUUUCCAUUCUUCCACCUUGCUUUCGGGUAUAUUUGACUGUGAGGAAACCACCUCACCCCUCAGUAUGCCUCUUCCUCUGAUUUGACCUCUCUGGGACUCAGUUUUUUCAUCUGUGAAAGGGACACAGGAGUGGCUGUCAGGAAAGAGAAGAUGGAUCGCCCAUCUGUGUGUCUUGACAGGAAGAUGAAUUCAGGAGCCACACACACCCGCCAGUUCAGUCUCUCUUUGAAUUAAGCACAGGGUAAGCACCUGCGGAGUGAUUUCAAACUCUCAUCUAGAGGAAGGUCCCGGUCUUUCACUUCGCUACAGCCUGCUCUCUUAGGGUAAGGUAAGUGUUGUUCUGGGGGUGCACUGAUUCCUCAACAUGAAACGAGUUUUUCUCCCACCUCCCUUCCUGCUCAGGGUCCAGCUCUACUUAACCUGGGCAGCCAACGUCUGCAGAGGAAAAAGACAAAAAAAAAAUUAAUUAAAACUAACCAAUCUCAAAGGACCAAGAGUUCCCGAUGACAUCCCUACCUUCCUGUUGUUUCAACCAAUCUCUCUGCUGAGUGGUGGUCCCCCCAAGUAAUUUGAUGCCCAUCCCUCUUUGGCCAGUCUGUCCUUGGAAAACUAACAAUGCCCAGGCCCAAGCAGAAAUUUUUGCUAAAAAUACCCUGCAUUCCUGAGUGACAAUAGCUCUCUCCUCAAACUCAGGGACAGCCAGGUUAAAAACAGCAGCCGGCAGCUUUAGAUGGCAAGAGCAACCAAGACAGGGAGGCCUGCGACCAGCACAUCACGCUGAGACAUCUGCCAUCUUGGCCCAUCCCGGCUUCCCUCUUCCCAGAGGCAGUGGGCAUCUCAAUGGCACAGGAAGCUGGACUUCUCCGCGGGGUCUGUGGGCUCUGCAACGUCUUGGACAGAAGAUGAGAAUGGCCUGGAAGGAAGCAGCAGAGACCGGAUGCCUCAACUAUUCACUGGCCCGUGUGCUAUCUGGCUCGAUGUGCAAAUGUCUCUCUAGUAGAAGUGUCAGAAGCAAGGAGAAGUUGAAAGCCAUGUCACAAUCAGGUGGGCCCAGGAGCUGACACAAGCUGAAGCAGUUUUCAGGAACCAUUGACCCCCUGAAGCGAGACCAGACAGACAGAAGUGAGGAGAGUAUGCCGUGUUCACUCAUGGCUGAGUCCCUUGCCUUCCUGGAAGAAGUCAAACAUCCACUUGCUUCCUUUCCUGUCUUGAGAGCCAGUCUUACAGGUUACGCCCUCCUGCGAGCACCUCAGUCCAGCCCUCGAUACACUUUAAGGACCAGCUGCUUGCGUAGACCCACAGCCUGUCCCCAGGGGCUGGAAUCACCCCGUUGUUGAGAGCUCCUUGAAGGGACAUCCGGACUGUGUCUUGGGUGACAUGUUCCAUGAGGAACACUCAGGGCUUCCUAGGCGCUCAACCCUGUGUCCUGGGCAUCUGAGGUGGCAGGAAUGACCUUUUCACCUGUGGCUCCUCUGCAAAAUUGUAGGCGAAGGGUUCGGUUCACUUGAAUCUCUCCUGUCCAUGCCCCAGGCUCGUCCAGUUUGUACCUGUGAACCACACUGCCCCAGGGAAGCCGUCUGUGCUAUCCAUCCCACUUGUAGACCACAGCAUCGAGUCACAGUGUCAAGGGCUGGGCACACCUCCUAGGUGGACUUUAAAGGAGACUUUAGCCAUGUGUACCCCCUUACGACCCAGUGUUGUUUGCUGAGUUUUCGUGCAGUAGUCAGCAAACCUGCUUAUGGAUUCUGGUGUACAUUGAUUCAACAGAGCAGUGAGAUCUCACAGGGAUUGCUCAUUUAAUUACAACCUCCAUUUAUCUUUUAUUGGAUUACAAAUAUUGGGUUUCAUGAUGGCAUUUUUCAUGCAAUAUUUGUUGUUGUCGUUCCUCUCCCCUAUGCUUCUCACCCUCCUCCCACUGACUCUCAUCCUCCUCCCACUGACUCUCACCCUCCUCCCUCUGACUAUCACCCUCCCCCCAACCAAUUUUCAUAUUGUGUCAUCCUUGCCCCAACUUCCUUAGCACCUCCUGUUUCUCCUUUAUGGUAUUGACCUAGUUGCAUAUCCUGC
This is a non-coding RNA of Rattus norvegicus (Norway rat), 8131 nucleotides long. The record is from RefSeq and is a predicted model, not a curated record. NCBI's taxonomy places the organism in Eukaryota, Metazoa, Chordata, Mammalia, Rodentia, Muridae.